This 482-nucleotide ribosomal RNA is filed under the name uncultured bacterium. Its description in RNAcentral is "partial 16S ribosomal RNA". It matches the Rfam family "Bacterial small subunit ribosomal RNA", at positions 30 to 506 of the family's 1533-position model. The record is from RNAcentral.
UUGAACGCUGGCGGCAGGCCUAACACAUGCAAGUCGAGCGGAUGAAGGGAGCUUGCUCCUGGAUUCAGCGGCGGACGGGUGAGUAAUGCCUAGGAAUCUGCCUGGUAGUGGGGGAUAACGUCCGGAAACGGGCGCUAAUACCGCAUACGUCCUGAGGGAGAAAGUGGGGGAUCUUCGGACCUCACGCUAUCAGAUGAGCCUAGGUCGGAUUAGCUAGUUGGUGGGGUAAAGGCCUACCAAGGCGACGAUCCGUAACUGGUCUGAGAGGAUGAUCAGUCACACUGGAACUGAGACGCGGUCCAGACUCCUACGGGAGGCAGCAGUGGGGAAUAUUGGACAAUGGGCGAAAGCCUGAUCCAGCCAUGCCGCGUGUGUGAAGAAGGUCUUCGGAUUGUAAAGCACUUUAAGUUGGGAGGAAGGGCAGUAAGUUAAUACCUUGCUGUUUUGACGUUACCAACAGAAUAAGCACCGGCUAACUUCGU